This 525-nucleotide ribosomal RNA is filed under the name uncultured bacterium. Its description in RNAcentral is "bacterial SSU rRNA". It matches the Rfam family "Bacterial small subunit ribosomal RNA", at positions 8 to 518 of the family's 1533-position model. The record is from RNAcentral.
AGGGUUCGAUUCUGGCUCAGAACGAACGCUGGCGGCGCGUCUUAAGCAUGCAAGUCGGACGGCAAGGGUUGUGCUUGCACAACUCCUAGAGUGGCGGACUGGUGAGUAACGCGUGGGUGACCUGCCCUCGAGAUGGGGAUAGCCAUUAGAAAUAGUGGAUAAUACCGAAUACGCUCAUGACCCUGUGGGGGUAUGAGGAAAACAGGCUACGGCCUGGCUCGAGGAUGGGCCCGCGUCCCAUUAGCUAGUUGGUGAGGUAACGGCCCACCAAGGCGACGAUGGGUAUCCGGCCUGAGAGGGUGUACGGACACAUUGGGACUGAGAUACGGCCCAAACUCCUACGGGAGGCAGCAGCUAAGAAUAUUCCGCAAUGGACGAAAGUCUGACGGAGCGACGCCGCGUGGAUGAAGAAGGCCGGAAGGUUGUAAAAUCCUUUUGCUGAUGAAGAAUAAGUGUGGUAGGGAAUGACCGCAUGAUGACAUUAGUCGGUGAAUAAGCCCCGGCUAACUACGUGCCAGCCGCGGC